GACGAACCGUACAAACGUUAUUCGGAAUCACUGGGCUUAAAGGGUGCGUAGGCGGCCUGUUAAGUAGGGUGUGAAAUCCCCCGGCCCAACCGGGGAAUGGCGCUCUAAACUGGCAGGCUUGAGUGAGCUAGGGGUGCAUGGAACUUCCAGUGGAGCGGUGAAAUGUGUUGAUAUUGGAAGGAACACCGGAGGCGAAAGCGAUGCACUGGGGCUUAACUGACGCUGAGGCACGAAAGCCAGGGUAGCGAACGGG
Molecule: ribosomal RNA, 253 nt
Filed under: uncultured bacterium
Lineage: Bacteria
Description: partial 16S ribosomal RNA
Rfam family: Bacterial small subunit ribosomal RNA
Source: RNAcentral